UAAGCAUUGCUCAAUGCUAAGUCGGUUGGAGACGACGCGGAAUUAUGUCUUGUAGCACGACGCCCAGAGUCUUGUCCGAUACCGUCAGACAUUUAGAAGGUGAGAAUAAACGGCGGUACGUGUAAAAAUUAGAUAAACUCGGCAUGGAGGCAGUCAGUGUUUUCGCCGAUAAGAAAUUGGACUGUCAAUCCGCUUCCGCUUGUCUUGGACAACUGGAUAUGCCCUUGGAUCUGUGGAAUCCUGGAACGUUUCCAAGUGGGUGGAUCAGCAACGUCCGUAUAUUGUACCGUAGGUCUUUCGUUUCUAUGCAUCCGUAAUUUCCUCACAGCGCUGGUUCUUUUGUGCUUGCAGCUUAAAAAAAAAAAAAAAAAUGACACCAUGCAUCCACUUCCGUAAAGAAAGAUUUGAAAGGUUCAUUGAAAGUCUUGCUGUGAUCCUUUGCGGUUUCCGGGGGACCGCCGUUGUAAAUUCCACUAGGACGUCUCCCCGGGAGGUUUCAUUGCGGCCGUUCGUAUUCAUGAUCCAGUGCUGCUCCCAUUCAACGGCACCCGAGUUCCGGUUCGCUGCUUUAUCACACGCAGGCCUCGCGGGGAGGAAGCAGCUGAGGUGAGACAGACUCCGGCUGUUGUGUGGUGAAAGGAAUGGCAAAUUCGCGGAACAGGAGGGGAAGACGUUGGUUUCACGCCGUCAGAGCGGACUCGGUGCCGGAAGUACAUAGUGUGUCCGGUGGUGAUGAAGAGCACAGAAAUGAGAACUAGGAUGCCAAAAUGCUGCGGCUGUGGAGCAGAGAUGACCAUUAUGAAGUGGAGCAGGUCCAUCAGGAGAUGAUUCUUACCCACAUUGACAACGCUCCACUGACAUAGAUGAGGAACUUGGGACCCUUGAGAUGAGCUCACCUGGUAUGCUCGUGGCUUUCUUGGCUCUGGCAUUUGUGAUGUCAUCAGGCUCGAACUCGACCACAACGCCACCGAAUUGGGAGGACUCGGCUCGCCGGGACAUCGCCUGCGGAAGACGGCAAACUUGUCGUACAUCGGCCCGGAGGAGAAUAGGACUCGGACAAACAAAAGAAGACGUCGGUGCUGUCAAACUAAAUGCAGUCUUGAGGUCUAAAAACAUCAGUGAGUGCAAUGAAAGGUAUGGCGAUGGUGGGGAUGCCGGCCAGGAUGAAGAUGAUCGCGUAGAUCCACGGUGGAUACGACUUCUCCUCCAGAGUUGGGAAUUUCUCCUGAAAACGGCGCAUAUUCGAAGUGUGAAAAGAAACUUGAGCCCACUCAAAGAUCCCUUCAGCGUCAGUCCUCUGACCAGAAAGAUGGUCAGCACCACGUACGGCAGCGUUGAAGUCACGUAUACAGC
This is a long non-coding RNA of Syngnathoides biaculeatus (alligator pipefish), 1353 nucleotides long. RefSeq lists it as uncharacterized. The record is from RefSeq and is a predicted model, not a curated record. The transcript has 8 exons. NCBI's taxonomy places the organism in Eukaryota, Metazoa, Chordata, Actinopteri, Syngnathiformes, Syngnathidae.